Molecule: ribosomal RNA, 434 nt
Filed under: uncultured Lachnospiraceae bacterium
Lineage: Bacteria; Bacillati; Bacillota; Clostridia; Lachnospirales; Lachnospiraceae
Description: partial 16S ribosomal RNA
Rfam family: Bacterial small subunit ribosomal RNA
Source: RNAcentral
ACGGGAGGCAGCAGUGGGGAAUAUUGCACAAUGGGGGAAACCCUGAUGCAGCGACGCCGCGUGAGUGAAGAAGUAUUUCGGUAUGUGAAGCUCUAUCAGCAAGGAAGAAAAUGACGGUACUUGACUAAGAAGCCCCGGCUAACUACGUGCCAGCAGCCGCGGUAAUACGUAGGGGGCAAGCGUUAUCCGGAUUUACUGGGUGUAAAGGGAGCGUAGACGGCAUAGCAAGUCUGAAGUGAAAUGCAUGGGCUCAACCCAUGAACUGCUUUGGAAACUGUUAAGCUAGAGUGCAGGAGAGGUAAGUGGAAUUCCUAGUGUAGCGGUGAAAUGCGUAGAUAUUAGGAGGAACACCAGAGGCGAAGGCGGCUUACUGGACUGUAACUGACGUUGAGGCUCGAAAGCGUGGGGAGCAAACAGGAUUAGAUACCCUGGUA